Molecule: ribosomal RNA, 440 nt
Filed under: uncultured bacterium
Lineage: Bacteria
Description: partial 16S ribosomal RNA
Rfam family: Bacterial small subunit ribosomal RNA
Source: RNAcentral
CCUACGGGAGGCUGCAGUAGGGAAUAUUGCACAAUGGGGGAAACCCUGAUGCAGCGACGCCGCGUGGGGGAAGAAGGAUUUCGGAAUGUAAACCCCUAUUGGUAGGGAAGAAAAUGACGGUACCUGACGAAUAAGCACCGGCUAAAUCCGUGCCAGCAGCCGCGGUAAUACGGAGGGGGCAAGCGUUAUCCGGAUUCACUGGGCGUAAAGGGCGCGUAGGCGGGAUAGCAAGUCUGAUGUGAAAGGCUGGGGCUCAACCAGAGAACUGCAUUGGAAACUGUUAGUCUAGAGUAUGGGAGAGGUAGGCGGAAUUCUUGGUGUAGCGGUGAAAUGCGUAGAUAUCAAGAGGAAUACUCGUGGCGAAGGCGGCCUACUGGACCAUAACUGACGCUGAGGCGCGAAAGCGUGGGGAGCAAACAGGAUUAGAUACCCUAGUAGUC